This 497-nucleotide ribosomal RNA is filed under the name uncultured bacterium. Its description in RNAcentral is "partial 16S ribosomal RNA". It matches the Rfam family "Bacterial small subunit ribosomal RNA", at positions 28 to 507 of the family's 1533-position model. The record is from RNAcentral.
GAUGAACGCUGGCGGCGUGCCUAAUACAUGCAAGUCGAGCGAACGGACGAGAAGCUUGCUUUUCUGAUGUUAGCGGCAGACGGGUGAGUAACACGUGGAUAACCUACCUAUAAGACUGGGAUAACUUCGGGAAACCGGAGCUAAUACCGGAUAAUAUUUUGAACCGCAUGGUUCAAAAGUGAAAGACGGUCUUGCUGUCACUUAUAGAUGGAUCCGCGCUGCAUUAGCUAGUUGGUAAGGUAACGGCUUACCAAGGCAACGAUGCAUAGCCGACCUGAGAGCGUGAUCGGCCACACUGGAACUGAGACACGGUCCAGACUCCUACGGGAGGCAGCAGUAGGGAAUCUUCCGCAAUGGGCGAAAGCCUGACGGAGCAACGCCGCGUGAGUGAUGAAGGUCUUCGGAUCGUAAAACUCUGUUAUUAGGGAAGAACAUAUGUGUAAGUAACUGUGCACAUCUUGACGGUACCUAAUCAGAAAGCCACGGCUAACUACGUG